CUCCAAGUGUUCCUCCACCUGUCAAGUGCUGCUUUUUAGGACAGCUUAGAGGCUAUCCAUUGAAAGAUAUGGUCAAUUGUUUUCUAGUUGGGAAAUAGUCUCAGGUGCAUUAAAGGCUUCCUAUUGCUUAAAAUUCUACAACGUUAUCUUCUUCAUAGUGACAUGUUUAUCUGUGAUGCUGCGGUCUCACACAGCAUGUGCUCUUUCCUC
This 210-nucleotide long non-coding RNA is filed under the name Bos taurus (domestic cattle). RNAcentral describes it as "long non-coding RNA NONBTAT022671". Lineage: Eukaryota; Metazoa; Chordata; Mammalia; Artiodactyla; Bovidae. The record is from RNAcentral.